GGUUGGCCCAAGUGCAGUGGUGUUUACAACUAAUUGAUCACAGCCAGUCACAGAUUUCUUUGUUCCUUCUCUAUACACACUCCCACUGCUUCACUUGACUAGCUUUUU
This 108-nucleotide Y RNA is filed under the name Propithecus coquereli (Coquerel's sifaka). RNAcentral describes it as "Y RNA (ENSPCOG00000001962.1)". It matches the Rfam family "Y RNA". Rfam says of the family: Y RNAs are components of the Ro ribonucleoprotein particle (Ro RNP), in association with Ro60 and La proteins. The Y RNAs and Ro60 and La proteins are well conserved, but the function of the Ro RNP is not known. Lineage: Eukaryota; Metazoa; Chordata; Mammalia; Primates; Indriidae. The record is from Rfam by way of RNAcentral.